GGGUCUUUGCUAAUUUUAGUCAUAAAUUGUAACUCAUAACAAUACAAAAACAGGUCCGCAAUAAGUGGUGCACAGUUAGUCUCCAUUUGAAUUCCAAUAACUUGACGAUAUACAGAAACUCCAAAGCGAACAAAGAUGUUAUCAAGUAAAAAUUCAAACGCAUAUAUAGUAUCAAAGCAUGUCCAAUUGACAUAGUUCUUUU
RNAcentral lists this long non-coding RNA (202 nucleotides) under Mytilus galloprovincialis (Mediterranean mussel). Lineage: Eukaryota; Metazoa; Mollusca; Bivalvia; Mytilida; Mytilidae. The record is from RNAcentral.